Long non-coding RNA from Leopardus geoffroyi (Geoffroy's cat), 668 nucleotides. RefSeq lists it as uncharacterized. The transcript is spliced from 3 exons. Lineage: Eukaryota; Metazoa; Chordata; Mammalia; Carnivora; Felidae. The record is from RefSeq and is a predicted model, not a curated record.
AUUCCAUCCUAAUAACAUCCCUCUGGGCUUUCACAUUAUUUCCUAGAAGUGACUUCGAUUUCUCCUGUCUUGUCCAAGGCUCCAGGACCUCUAACAAUGGAACUCGCACUGUUCCAGUUCUGUAGCUUGAGUUCUGCUUGAGCGCGAUUGUUAUAGGCCACGACAUUGGGAAGCACUGAUAUACUCCUACAAGAGAGACACUUAUUGGCAACAAGUCGACCAGAGGAAAACAUAUGAAGAUAGAGAAACUCAAACACGAUGAAGUCAAAAUGAGGUCAUGAUGGUGUACCUUCGUCCAAUAUGACUGGUGUCCUUAUAAGAAGAGAUUAGAACACAGACACAUGCCGAGGAAAGACCACUUGAAGACACAGAGAGAAGACAGUCACCUACAAGCCAGAACAGGGGCCCAGAAGACGCCAGCCCUCCUGACACUUUGAUCAGAUUUGUAGCCUCCAGGAUGGUGAGAAAAUACAUUUCUGUUUGAGUCCUUCAGCCUGUGGCACUUUGUUAUGGCAGUCCUAGCAAGCUAAUACAGCCUGCAGGAUCAAAAGCAAUAAAAUACAGUUCUGUAAACAUACUGAAUCACUAUUUACACAGAUGCUUAAAUAUCCAGUUAAGCAGUUUAAGGUUGGCUCUGGCUUUACAAGUGACAUGGUAACCUAAACGCC